This 270-nucleotide ribosomal RNA is filed under the name uncultured archaeon. RNAcentral describes it as "partial 16S ribosomal RNA". It matches the Rfam family "Archaeal small subunit ribosomal RNA", at positions 477 to 747 of the family's 1478-position model. The record is from RNAcentral.
CAGCCCCUCGAGUGGUGGGGAUGAUUAUUGGGCCUAAAGCGUCCGUAGCCUGCCGUGUAAGUUUCCCGUUAAAUCCAGCGUCUUAAGCGUUGGACCGCGGGAAAUACUGUACGGCUAGAGAGUGGGAGAGGUCAGCGGUAUUCUGGGGGUAGGGGCGAAAUCCUUUGAUCCCCGGAGGACCACCAGUGGCGAAGGCUGCUGACUAGAACACGUCUGACGGUCAGGGACGAAAGCUGGGGUAGCGAACCGGAUUAGAUACCCGAGUAGUCC